UACGAAGGGGGCGAGCGUUGUUCGGAUUUACUGGGCGUAAAGGGCGCGUAGGCGGCCCUCCUUGUCGCGUGUGAAAGCCCCGGGCUCAACCUGGGAACGGCGCGCGAGACGGGGGGGCUGGAGUUCGGGAGAGGAGCGUGGAAUUCCCAGUGUAGAGGUGAAAUUCGUAGAGAUGUGGAGGAACACCAGUGGCGAAGGCGACUCUUUGGCCUGUAACUGACGCUGAGGCGCGAAAGCGUGGGGAGCAAACAGG
This 253-nucleotide ribosomal RNA is filed under the name uncultured bacterium. RNAcentral's name for it is "partial 16S ribosomal RNA". It matches the Rfam family "Bacterial small subunit ribosomal RNA", at positions 524 to 776 of the family's 1533-position model. The record is from RNAcentral.